Long non-coding RNA from Morus notabilis, 183 nucleotides. RefSeq lists it as uncharacterized. The transcript is spliced from 3 exons. NCBI's taxonomy places the organism in Eukaryota, Viridiplantae, Streptophyta, Magnoliopsida, Rosales, Moraceae. The record is from RefSeq and is a predicted model, not a curated record.
GUUUUGUAGGACUUUACAAGGUAACUCUCUUGAAGGUCCCAUACCAUCCAGUUUUUCUCAGUUGACCUCAUUGGAAUCCCUGCGAAUUGGCGAUUUAUACACCGGAAGUUCUACCCUUGAUUUUGUUCAAAAUUGGGAGAACUUAACUGAGUUAAUUCUAAGAAAUGCAUUGGUUUCUGGUCC